This 502-nucleotide ribosomal RNA is filed under the name uncultured bacterium. RNAcentral's name for it is "partial 16S ribosomal RNA". It matches the Rfam family "Bacterial small subunit ribosomal RNA", at positions 899 to 1397 of the family's 1533-position model. The record is from RNAcentral.
ACUCAAAGGAAUAGACGGGGACCCGCACAAGCGGUGGAGCAUGUGGUUUAAUUCGAGGCAACGCGAAGAACCUUACCAGGCCUUGACAUGGGUAGUUUGGUUUCCAGAAAUGGAUUCCUUCAGUUCGGCUGGCUACCACACAGGUGCUGCAUGGCUGUCGUCAGCUCGUGUCGUGAGAUGUUGGGUUAAGUCCCGCAACGAGCGCAACCCUCAUCCUUGGUUGCUACCAGGUAAUGCUGAGAACUCCAGGGAAACUGCCGGUGAUAAGCCGGAGGAAGGUGGGGAUGACGUCAAGUCUUCAUGGCCCUUAUGGCCUGGGCUACACACGUGCUACAAUGGCGGUGACAGUGCGCUGCUACCUUGCAAGAGGAAGCUAAUCGCAAAAAACCGUCUCAGUUCGGAUUGCACUCUGCAACUCGAGUGCAUGAAGUUGGAAUCGCUAGUAAUCGUGGAUCAGCACGCCACGGUGAAUACGUUCCCGGGUCUUGUACACACCGCCCGU